Molecule: ribosomal RNA, 106 nt
Organism: Ceratocystis platani
Lineage: Eukaryota; Fungi; Ascomycota; Sordariomycetes; Microascales; Ceratocystidaceae
Source: Rfam
CUUGUAGAAAGCACGGGAUCCCGUCCGCUCUCCCCUAGUUAACCUACUAAGCGCUGGACUAGUACUACGGUGGGUGACCACGCGGGAAUACCCAGUGUUGUAUGUU